AAAAUAAUCCUACCCUUUGUGAAUUUUGUUUGUUUGAAUAAUUUUUUUUUUUAAAAAAUUAUUGGAGUCUUUCCCUUUAGAGUUUGCUUUUGAGUUUGUAAAAGAAUUCGAAAACAUCUAAAGGGGAUGGUCAAUAAUUUUUUUUGAAAAAGACAUUUUUUAAAAUUAAACUUUUUGUAUUCAUUUGUCUAAAAAUUAUUUUUAUAAUAUAAAAACAACUUUUGACAAUGGAUCUCUUGGUUCUCGCAACGAUGAAGAACGCAGCAAAAUGCGAUAAGUAGUGUGAAUUGCAGAAUACGUGAAUCAUCGAAUCUUUGAACGCAUAUUGCACUUUUUUAGUUUACUAAAAAAGUAUGUCUGUUUGAGUAUCAGUAAAAUAUUCUCAUAAAAAUCAUUGUAUUUUUAUGGUUAUGAGUGUUUUACAACGAUACAAGUUGUUUCACUUUAAAUUUUUUUUUAAUAUUGAAAUUUUUCUAAUUUUAAUAAUUAAAAUUGGAUCAAAUUUUCCCGUCAAAAGGAAUAACCUAAACAAUUUUAAAUGAUUAAUUUUAGCAAAAUUUUCGAAAAAAGGAAAAUUUUUAUUAAAAUAACUUGAUCUCAAAUCAGAUAAGAGUACCCGCUGAACUUAAGCAUAUCAAUAAGCGGAGGAAAAGAAACUAACAAGGAUUCCCUUAGUAACGGCGAGUGAAGCGGGAAGAGCUCAAAUUUGAAAUCUUCAAGGUUUUACCUUGACGAAUUGUAGUUUAAAGAAGUGUUUUCUGCUGAAGUUUUGGUAAAAGUUCUUUGGAAUAGGACAUCAUAGAGGGUGAGAAUCCCGUAUUUGACCAUUAUUUUCAGCUUUGUGAUACACUUUCAAAGAGUCGGAUUGCUUGGGAAUGCAGUCCAAAAUGGGUGGUAAAUUUCAUCUAAAGCUAAAUAUUGGCGAGAGACCGAUAGCGAACAAGUACCGUGAGGGAAAGAUGAAAAGAACUUUGAAAAGAGAGUUAAACAGUACGUGAAAUUGUCAAGAGGGAAGCGUUUGACACCAGUGUUGUUUUCUCGAAAAUCAAUUAAAAAUGGCUCGAUUUUGUAUUGCUGAGACCUUAAAAGCUCACUGUACAUUUUUCGUGUCUUUUUAAUGCACUUUUCGUUUAACAAGUCAACAUCAGUUUCUUUUGUUGUAAAAGGGUCAUUGGAAGGUGGCUUUCUUUUCGGAGAAAGUGUUUGUAGCCUUUGGCCUCUGCAAUCGGAGAGACUGAGGUCUGCAGCGUAGACUCUUCGGGGUUAGAUACAUUUGUGCUAAGUUAUAGCUUUUUAUAGACAACUUGUUGACUAUAAUUAGUCUUGUAGCUUACUCGCUUAUGCUAUUUUACCUACGCUUAGGAUG
This 1366-nucleotide unclassified non-coding RNA is filed under the name uncultured Neocallimastigales. RNAcentral describes it as "partial contains internal transcribed spacer 1, 5.8S ribosomal RNA, internal transcribed spacer 2, and large subunit ribosomal RNA". The stretch from base 593 to 1366 matches the Rfam family "Eukaryotic large subunit ribosomal RNA", at positions 1 to 626 of the family's 3401-position model. The record is from RNAcentral. Lineage: Eukaryota; Fungi; Neocallimastigomycota; Neocallimastigomycetes; Neocallimastigales.